Molecule: ribosomal RNA, 253 nt
Filed under: uncultured bacterium
Lineage: Bacteria
Description: partial 16S ribosomal RNA
Rfam family: Bacterial small subunit ribosomal RNA
Source: RNAcentral
UACGUAGGGGGCAAGCGUUGUCCGGAUUUAUUGGGCGUAAAGCGCACGCAGGCGGUGCGGUAAGUUUCGAGUGACAGGUGGUGGCUUAACUGCCACAGGACUCGGAAAACUGCUGCACUUGAGGGCUUGAGAGGGACGCGGAAUUCCUGGUGUAGCGGUGAAAUGCGCAGAUAUCAGGAAGAACACCCGUGGCGAAGGCGGCUCUCUGGGACGGUACUGACGCUGAGACGCGAAAGCGUGGGGAGCGAACAGG